Molecule: long non-coding RNA, 380 nt
Organism: Micropterus dolomieu (smallmouth bass)
Lineage: Eukaryota; Metazoa; Chordata; Actinopteri; Centrarchiformes; Centrarchidae
Exons: 2
Source: RefSeq, a predicted model, not a curated record
GUCAUCUAUGCCCCCCUCCCUCUGCAGUGGAUUUAUGUCCCCGCCCAGGGGGGCCCGUCGCCAAGUUUGAGAACCACUGGUCAAAGACAUGGCCAAAUUUCAUUAAGUCUAAUCCGCUCAGUAAUGUGAUGACAGGAAAUAACGGAUGAGAGAGAUGGGGAACUACAUGUACUGCACCUUAUUGAAGCGUUGAGUCAGACAACUUGGGGAUAAGUGUGAAUUUUUAGUUCACGCUGAAAUGAGUUUGUGUCUUUCCACUGACUUUGUAUACAUUCCACCUCUAAAAUGUACUUUGCAUUCAGUCUAAACACCCCUUAACACAAGCAGGAGCUGAGGCGUUUAUUGCAGUUGGUUGUAUAAUAAAGACAAAAAACACCUUG